Ailuropoda melanoleuca (giant panda) is the source of this 1642-nucleotide non-coding RNA. The record is from the annotation of a RefSeq genome assembly. NCBI's taxonomy places the organism in Eukaryota, Metazoa, Chordata, Mammalia, Carnivora, Ursidae.
CUCUCUCACCAUUCCUGCAGGUUCCUCAGUGAAGCAGAGGCUGAGGUCCUAGUCUGCCCUCUGCCACCCACCCAGGCGGUCUCCUCCCAGCAGGUGCAGUCAGGAGGUCAAGCUGCGUUUCUUUCCAGCAGGUGGGAAGCAGAACCAUGCUGGGUCCCCUUGCCCUCCUGUGCUCUCUCCUGUUUCCCGGUGGCGGAGUAGGGCUCAAGCUGGAGCAGCCUGCUUUGGUGAUGGUGCGCUUGCCUUUGAAACCCUCAGCCACAUUGACUUGCAAAGUUGACAGCUCGGUCAGCUACAUCCACUGGUACCGCCACCAGGAGGGGAUGGCCCCCAGGAGGCUCCUCUACCUAGAGAUGUCCAGUUCCAAAGUGGAGAGGGAUUUUCCUAUGAAUGCGGACAAAGUCAAUGCUGAGAAGGGCAGCGAUGGCUACAGCUGUAGUCUGUCGGUGCUGAAACUGAGGAAGAGCGACGAGGGCGUGUACUACUGCGCUGCCUGGGGGAUCUCCUUUAGCUGGGAAAACAAAGUGUUUGGUCCCGGCACAAUUCUCAGGGUUACAGAUAAAAGCCCUGAUGAGGACAUAUCCCCCAAGCCCACAGUUUUUCUUCCUUCAAUUGCUGAAAUAAAAGUCCAGAAGGCUGGAACAUAUCUUUGUCUUCUUGAGGAUUUUUUCCCUGACAUUAUCGAGAUAGAUUGGCAAGAAAAGGAUGACAAAACAAUUCUGACAUCGCAGCAGGGAGACACCAUGAAGACUAAGGACACGUACAUGAAAUUCAGCUGGCUGACCGUGACUGAAGCGUCACUGGAUAAAGAACACAAAUGUAUCGUCAAACAUGAGAGUGAUAGAACAAAGGUUAAUCAAGAGAUUCUUUUUCCUUCAAUAGACAAAGAUUUGAUGGCAGCGACGGAAUCCGAAGGGGACUCCCAGGGCCAUUCAGGGACAAAGCAAAACACAGAAGUGGUAACUGUGAGCCCUGUGAGUUCAGAAUCCUUCUCGCCUAUUCCAAGCGCUGUGGAGCCCACUAUUAACUCCACCAAAGAUUCUCUGACUGAUGAAAAUGCCACCCUGCAGCUGCAGCUCACGAACACGUCUGCCUACUACACCUACGUCCUCCUUCUCCUCAAGAGCCUGGUCUACUCCGCCAUCACGGCCGUCUGUCUGAUUGGGAGACCAGCGCUCUGUGGCAAUGGGAAGAGUUCCUAACACAUAGUGACAACAAGGAUCCCUUAUGUCCCUUGGCUAUUGUCCCUAAAAAUGUCUGCUGAGGAUCUAGUGGGACUUCUUUCUGAGAUUGGGUUAUUUCAGUUCACAUGUGUCUUUUUCUCUUGUGUCAUUAUUGCAGAAUGGGUUUACAAAUCAUUGGGCAAACAGAAACUUUCACUCUGCAGCAAGAACAAAUGCUGCCAUGACUCAGGGGCAGGGCCGGGGUACCAUCCACAGGGGCUUCCAGCACCGCUUUCUUCUUAGUGUCCACCAGCCCCUCAGCCACCCAGUCCCCAUGCCUCGGUGCACAGCCAGCAUGCACCUUACAGCUGCAUCCCCUGGACUCUUUCACCAGAUAACUGCCUGGAAGCCGCCGUCCUUGCCACCUGCAGUUUGUAGUGGUUUUCAAAAUAGGCACAAUAAAAGCAAUGAAAAGUCUA